GGAGGCAGCAGUGGGGAAUCUUAGACAAUGGGGGCAACCCUGAUCUAGCCAUGCCGCGUGAGUGAUGAAGGCCUUAGGGUCGUAAAGCUCUUUCGCCUGUGAUGAUAAUGACAGUAGCAGGUAAAGAAACCCCGGCUAACUCCGUGCCAGCAGCCGCGGUAAUACGGAGGGGGUUAGCGUUGUUCGGAAUUACUGGGCGUAAAGCGCGCGUAGGCGGAUUAGAAAGUUGGGGGUGAAAUCCCGGGGCUCAACCUCGGAACUGCCUCCAAAACUGCUAGUCUAGAGUUCGAGAGAGGUGAGUGGAAUUCCGAGUGUAGAGGUGAAAUUCGUAGAUAUUCGGAGGAACACCAGUGGCGAAGGCGGCUCACUGGCUCGAUACUGACGCUGAGGUGCGAAAGUGUGGGGAGCAAACAGGAUUAGAUACCCUGGUAGUCCACACCGUAAACGAUGAAUGCCAGUCGUCGGGUAGUAUACUAUUCGGUGACACACCUAACGGAUUAAGCAUUCCGCCUGGGGAGUACGGUCGCAAGAUUAAAACUCAAAUGAAUUGACGGGG
This 556-nucleotide ribosomal RNA is filed under the name uncultured bacterium. Its description in RNAcentral is "bacterial SSU rRNA". It matches the Rfam family "Bacterial small subunit ribosomal RNA", at positions 344 to 918 of the family's 1533-position model. The record is from RNAcentral.